ACGAAGGGAGCUAGCGUUGUUCGGAAUUACUGGGCGUAAAGGGCGCGUAGGCGGUUUGACGAGUCAGAUGUGAAAGCCCAAGGCUUAACCUUGGAAUUGCGUUUGAUACUGUCUUUCUUGAAUUCGGGAGAGGUGAGUGGAAUUCCCAGUGUAGAGGUGAAAUUCGUAGAGAUUGGGAAGAACACCGGUGGCGAAGGCGGCUCACUGGACCGAUAUUGACGCUGAGGCGCGAAAGUGUGGGGAGCAAACAG
RNAcentral lists this ribosomal RNA (251 nucleotides) under uncultured prokaryote. RNAcentral describes it as "partial 16S rRNA". It matches the Rfam family "Bacterial small subunit ribosomal RNA", at positions 525 to 775 of the family's 1533-position model. The record is from RNAcentral.